RNAcentral lists this ribosomal RNA (774 nucleotides) under uncultured bacterium. RNAcentral's name for it is "bacterial SSU rRNA". It matches the Rfam family "Bacterial small subunit ribosomal RNA", at positions 51 to 838 of the family's 1533-position model. The record is from RNAcentral.
ACACAUGCAAGUCGAACGGAAGUUAGAGCUUCGGUUUUAACUUUAGUGGCGAACGGGUGAGUAACGCGUGAGGAACCUGCCUUUCAGUGGGGGACAACAGUUGGAAACGACUGCUAAUACCGCAUGAUGCUUUUGGGAGACAUCUCCUGGAAGCCAAAGCUUUAUGUGCUGAAAGAUGGCCUCGCGUCUGAUUAGCUAGUUGGUGAGGUAACGGCUCACCAAGGCGACGAUCAGUAGCCGGUCUGAGAGGAUGAACGGCCACAUUGGGACUGAGAUACGGCCCAGACUCCUACGGGAGGCAGCAGUGGGGAAUAUUGGGCAAUGGGGGAAACCCUGACCCAGCAACGCCGCGUGAAGGAAGAAGGCCUUCGGGUUGUAAACUUCUUUUACCAGGGACGAAGGACGUGACGGUACCUGGAGAAAAAGCAACGGCUAACUACGUGCCAGCAGCCGCGGUAAUACGUAGGUUGCAAGCGUUGUCCGGAUUUACUGGGUGUAAAGGGCGUGUAGGCGGAGAUGCAAGUUGGGAGUGAAAUCCAUGGGCUCAACCCAUGAACUGCUCUCAAAACUGUAUCCCUUGAGUAUCGGAGAGGCAAGCGGAAUUCCUAGUGUAGCGGUGAAAUGCGUAGAUAUUAGGAGGAACACCAGUGGCGAAGGCGGCUUGCUGGACGACAACUGACGCUGAGGCGCGAAAGCGUGGGGAGCAAACAGGAUUAGAUACCCUGGUAGUCCACGCUGUAAACGAUGAAUACUAGGUGUGGGAGGACUGACCCC